This 1054-nucleotide long non-coding RNA is filed under the name Balaenoptera musculus (blue whale). RNAcentral's name for it is "lncRNA (ENSBMSG00010010434.1)". Lineage: Eukaryota; Metazoa; Chordata; Mammalia; Artiodactyla; Balaenopteridae. The record is from RNAcentral.
GCAAAAAUACUAAACACAAGAGGGAGAAGGCCACCGCUCUAGCCUGAGACAUCCCCAGCUGGUGGGGCGGUGUCGGACCACGGAGAGCCGCGCCUGCGCACUACAGACUCCGAAGCCAGGGCGACCUCAGGGAGGUGGGCGGGACUGCCCGGGCAUCCGGGUCCCUCACCCCGCCCCCGCUGCAUGAAUGAGAGGCCCGGCGCCCGCCCCUCCCCCUCCGGGCCCGCCCCUCGCCGGGGCGCCGCGGGCAGUCUGCCGCUGCCACCUCAGCCCCGCUCGGUGCCGACUGACGCCCGCCGCUCACCACCCGGAGCUGACGGUCCCAACACGGUCGCCGCCGCCGCUGCCGGCACGACAGACCCAGCUCAAUGGCUCCGCUUACAGGACUGCUGGAAAACAGAUCACCUUUUAUCGUCGUCAUCCCAAGAGAGAGGAGGAAGCUCUGCAGGUUCCCACAGACUUUGGCUCUGGGGGACUGACUGCCUGACUUUGUUGUCUUGGUGAAGUUGUGAGGAGUCACAGUUGAUGUGGACCAAUUAAAAAGAAGCAACUGUAAUAGCACCAGCUAUUCCUUGCUGUUUCACUUGGACCUUUUUCUCUUUUAAACCAGAUUUUAUAAGUUUUAGAAGACGGUUGCAUUUUCGGUUUCUUUUUUACACUUAUAAUUUUGCAGACUGACAGGAAAUUAGCUAAACUCUGUUACUAUAAGAAACAUACUUCCAAAAUAUAUUUUUCUUAUGAUCUUUUGAUUCAAAAUAGCAACGGUAAAAAAAAUUAAGAGGAGCUUAUUAGAGGAUAUGAAUAGUUGAAUUGAUUCAGUUUUAAGGUUCUCUUUAAGAUUAUUUUUUAAUCACAUAUAUUUUAAUUCCUGGUAGUUUUCAGUGCAAAAUGAAAGCUAAACUAAGCAGUCUUCCAUAGCAUCUGUUUAUGUAUAUUCCGUCUGUUAAAAACAUUUGCUUUUAAUUUGAAGGGGAAAUUUUCCAUUUGGUUGGAACGGGAUCCAUUAUUCUUGGUAAAAAUCUUACCUUAUGUUAACAUGAUCAAAUUCUUUUUU